UGGACGAACCUCUGGUGUUCCGGUUGUCACGCCAGUGGCAUUGCCGGGUAGCUAUGUUCGGAAGCGAUAACCGCUGAAAGCAUCUAAGCGGGAAGCGCGCCUCAAGAUGAGAUCUCCCGGGGCACAAGCCCCCUGAAGGAACCAUAUAGACUAUGUGGUUGAUAGGUCAGGUGUGUAAGUACAGCAAUGUAUUGAGCUAACUGAUACUAAUGAUCCGUGUGGCUUGACCAUAUAACCUCA
RNAcentral lists this ribosomal RNA (240 nucleotides) under Pseudomonas sp. SST3. RNAcentral describes it as "partial 23S ribosomal RNA". It matches the Rfam family "Bacterial large subunit ribosomal RNA", at positions 2698 to 2925 of the family's 2925-position model. Lineage: Bacteria; Pseudomonadati; Pseudomonadota; Gammaproteobacteria; Pseudomonadales; Pseudomonadaceae. The record is from RNAcentral.